RNAcentral lists this ribosomal RNA (2904 nucleotides) under Klebsiella pneumoniae subsp. pneumoniae KPNIH4. RNAcentral's name for it is "bacterial LSU rRNA". It matches the Rfam family "Bacterial large subunit ribosomal RNA". Lineage: Bacteria; Pseudomonadati; Pseudomonadota; Gammaproteobacteria; Enterobacterales; Enterobacteriaceae. RNAcentral also lists the same sequence under 4 other names. The record is from RNAcentral.
GGUUAAGCGACUAAGCGUACACGGUGGAUGCCCUGGCAGUCAGAGGCGAUGAAGGACGUGCUAAUCUGCGAAAAGCGUCGGUAAGGUGAUAUGAACCGUUAUAACCGGCGAUGUCCGAAUGGGGAAACCCAGUGCAAUUCGUUGCACUAUCGUUAACUGAAUACAUAGGUUAACGAGGCGAACCGGGGGAACUGAAACAUCUAAGUACCCCGAGGAAAAGAAAUCAACCGAGAUUCCCCCAGUAGCGGCGAGCGAACGGGGAGCAGCCCAGAGUCUGAAUCAGCUUGUGUGUUAGUGGAACGGUCUGGAAAGUCCGACGGUACAGGGUGAUAGUCCCGUACACCAAAAUGCACAGGCUGUGAACUCGAAGAGUAGGGCGGGACACGUGGUAUCCUGUCUGAAUAUGGGGGGACCAUCCUCCAAGGCUAAAUACUCCUGACUGACCGAUAGUGAACCAGUACCGUGAGGGAAAGGCGAAAAGAACCCCGGCGAGGGGAGUGAAAAAGAACCUGAAACCGUGUACGUACAAGCAGUGGGAGCACCUUCGGGUGUGACUGCGUACCUUUUGUAUAAUGGGUCAGCGACUUAUAUUCUGUAGCAAGGUUAACCGUAUAGGGGAGCCGCAGGGAAACCGAGUCUUAACUGGGCGUUAAGUUGCAGGGUAUAGACCCGAAACCCGGUGAUCUAGCCAUGGGCAGGUUGAAGGUUGGGUAACACUAACUGGAGGACCGAACCGACUAAUGUUGAAAAAUUAGCGGAUGACUUGUGGCUGGGGGUGAAAGGCCAAUCAAACCGGGAGAUAGCUGGUUCUCCCCGAAAGCUAUUUAGGUAGCGCCUCGUGAACUCAUCUUCGGGGGUAGAGCACUGUUUCGGCUAGGGGGUCAUCCCGACUUACCAACCCGAUGCAAACUACGAAUACCGAAGAAUGUUAUCACGGGAGACACACGGCGGGUGCUAACGUCCGUCGUGAAGAGGGAAACAACCCAGACCGCCAGCUAAGGUCCCAAAGUCAUGGUUAAGUGGGAAACGAUGUGGGAAGGCACAGACAGCCAGGAUGUUGGCUUAGAAGCAGCCAUCAUUUAAAGAAAGCGUAAUAGCUCACUGGUCGAGUCGGCCUGCGCGGAAGAUGUAACGGGGCUAAACCAUGCACCGAAGCUGCGGCAGCGACACUAUGUGUUGUUGGGUAGGGGAGCGUUCUGUAAGCCUGCGAAGGUGUGCUGUGAGGCAUGCUGGAGGUAUCAGAAGUGCGAAUGCUGACAUAAGUAACGAUAAAGCGGGUGAAAAGCCCGCUCGCCGGAAGACCAAGGGUUCCUGUCCAACGUUAAUCGGGGCAGGGUGAGUCGACCCCUAAGGCGAGGCCGAAAGGCGUAGUCGAUGGGAAACAGGUUAAUAUUCCUGUACUUGGUGUUACUGCGAAGGGGGGACGGAGAAGGCUAUGUUAGCCGGGCGACGGUUGUCCCGGUUUAAGCAUGUAGGCUGAUUGUCCAGGCAAAUCCGGAUAAUCAAGGCUGAGGUGUGAUGACGAGGCACUACGGUGCUGAAGUAACAAAUGCCCUGCUUCCAGGAAAAGCCUCUAAGCAUCAGGUAACAUCAAAUCGUACCCCAAACCGACACAGGUGGUCAGGUAGAGAAUACCAAGGCGCUUGAGAGAACUCGGGUGAAGGAACUAGGCAAAAUGGUGCCGUAACUUCGGGAGAAGGCACGCUGGUGUGUAGGUGAAGUCCCUGCGGAUGGAGCUGAGACCAGUCGAAGAUACCAGCUGGCUGCAACUGUUUAUUAAAAACACAGCACUGUGCAAACACGAAAGUGGACGUAUACGGUGUGACGCCUGCCCGGUGCCGGAAGGUUAAUUGAUGGGGUUAUCCGUAAGGAGAAGCUCUUGAUCGAAGCCCCGGUAAACGGCGGCCGUAACUAUAACGGUCCUAAGGUAGCGAAAUUCCUUGUCGGGUAAGUUCCGACCUGCACGAAUGGCGUAAUGAUGGCCAGGCUGUCUCCACCCGAGACUCAGUGAAAUUGAACUCGCUGUGAAGAUGCAGUGUACCCGCGGCAAGACGGAAAGACCCCGUGAACCUUUACUAUAGCUUGACACUGAACAUUGAGCCUUGAUGUGUAGGAUAGGUGGGAGGCUUUGAAGCGUGGACGCCAGUCUGCGUGGAGCCAACCUUGAAAUACCACCCUUUAAUGUUUGAUGUUCUAACGUUGGCCCCUGACCGGGGUUGCGGACAGUGUCUGGUGGGUAGUUUGACUGGGGCGGUCUCCUCCCAAAGCGUAACGGAGGAGCACGAAGGUUAGCUAAUCCUGGUCGGACAUCAGGAGGUUAGUGCAAUGGCAUAAGCUAGCUUGACUGCGAGCGUGACGGCGCGAGCAGGUGCGAAAGCAGGUCAUAGUGAUCCGGUGGUUCUGAAUGGAAGGGCCAUCGCUCAACGGAUAAAAGGUACUCCGGGGAUAACAGGCUGAUACCGCCCAAGAGUUCAUAUCGACGGCGGUGUUUGGCACCUCGAUGUCGGCUCAUCACAUCCUGGGGCUGAAGUAGGUCCCAAGGGUAUGGCUGUUCGCCAUUUAAAGUGGUACGCGAGCUGGGUUUAGAACGUCGUGAGACAGUUCGGUCCCUAUCUGCCGUGGGCGCUGGAGAAUUGAGGGGGGCUGCUCCUAGUACGAGAGGACCGGAGUGGACGCAUCACUGGUGUUCGGGUUGUCAUGCCAAUGGCACUGCCCGGUAGCUAAAUGCGGAAGAGAUAAGUGCUGAAAGCAUCUAAGCACGAAACUUGCCCCGAGAUGAGUUCUCCCUGAGACUUUAAGUCUCCUGAAGGAACGUUAAAGACGAUGACGUUGAUAGGCCGGGUGUGUAAGCGCAGCGAUGCGUUGAGCUAACCGGUACUAAUGAACCGUGAGGCUUAACCUUAC